Molecule: long non-coding RNA, 907 nt
Organism: Myotis daubentonii (Daubenton's bat)
Lineage: Eukaryota; Metazoa; Chordata; Mammalia; Chiroptera; Vespertilionidae
Exons: 3
Source: RefSeq, a predicted model, not a curated record
AUCUUUUCUAGCAGCUUCCCAGCCAACUUAUCCUCAGGGGACCGAACCGGCUCGGUGUCCAUUGCUAUCCCCAUAUCUGUGAAGGAAGGAGAAGGGACUGGUUCUGACUGGGGCUGAGGUCCACCAUCCCCAAAACAGAACCUGUUCUGCUCCCAAGAGAACUGGUGCCUGCGAGCCUGGAAGCGGAAGGAAUAAAUGAUCAGAAAACUAGAAGAAGCACAAAUGAAGAGAGGGGAAAAAAAGUCAGCCCCAGGAGCAAACACACUUCUUGAAUCCCUCCCCCGGGCCCGGUAACUUUUUAUGAUGAGAAAGCACAGAGAAGUCAAUAACUUUCCGGAGGUCACACAGCUAGCGGUCUGAGGCAAGGCAAUUUGGCCUGAGAGUCCUGAUCUAACCACUGCACCAUACUACCUGGCUGUUCUGGCAGCUGUUCCUAGGGAGGGGUGAGGGGUAGUCUGGGGUGAAGGUCACUGGGAGCCCAGAGAGACACAGACCAGUAUGAAAACAGUCCCUACAGGAAGCAGCAGCGGUUUGGAUGUGGGGGGCAGGUGGGAUCAUCUGUGUCAGCAUCAGGAGCCCAGGCGGGAAGCAGGACCAUGAAAGCCUACAGUUAAAACAUUCGCUUCCAGCCCAGCCGGUGUGGCUCACUGGUUGAGGGUCAACCUAUGACCCGGGAGGUCACCGUUCGAUUCCUGGUCGGGACACAUGCCCUGGUUGCGGGCUUGGUCUCCAGUAGGGGGCAUGCAGGAGGCAGCCAUCAAUGAUUCUCUCUCAUCACUGAUGGUUCUAUCUCCCUCUCCCGUCCUCUCUGAAAUAAAUUAAAAGAUAUUAAAAACAAAAGGUAAUCUUUAUUUUUUAAGAAUUUUUUCCCCCUGCAAAAAGCGUUAUUGUUUCCUUUGGUCCAACG